CCUACGGGAGGCAGCAGUGAGGAAUAGUGGUCAAUGGGCGCGAGCCUGAACCAGCCAAGUCGCGUGAGGGAAGACGGUCCUAUGGAUUGUAAACCUCUUUUGUCGGGGAGCAAAAGACGCCACGCGUGGCGUUCCGAGAGUACCCGAAGAAAAAGCAUCGACUAACUCCGUGCCAGCAGCCGCGGUAAGACGGAGGAUGCGAGCGUUAUCCGGAUUUAUUGGGUUUAAAGGGGGCGCAGGCGGAAGAUCAAGUCAGCGGUAAAAUUGAGAGGCUCAACCUCUUCGAGCCGUUGAAACUGGUUUUCUUGAGUGAGCGAGACGUAUGCGGACUGCGUGGUGUAGCGGUGAACUGCCUAGCUCUCACGC
RNAcentral lists this ribosomal RNA (366 nucleotides) under uncultured bacterium. RNAcentral describes it as "partial 16S ribosomal RNA". It matches the Rfam family "Bacterial small subunit ribosomal RNA", at positions 338 to 702 of the family's 1533-position model. The record is from RNAcentral.